AAUGACCUUUCAGGGUCCCUUCCAGUUCUAUGAGAUAGGUAUAGCUCCAUAUAUUAUAUUAUUAAUUGGCUGAUGAUUACAAAUCAAGACUGUCAGCACUUUGCCACUUAUCUAUCAACUAGAUUUCCCACUGUUUAAGAUUUGGGAAACUGAUAAUCUAGAAAUGUCAUAGGACUAAGUUAAACUUUCUACAGCUGGUAUAUAUUCUGAUUCACUAAACUAGUCCAAUAUUCAGGUUGUAAAUUGUAUUAAUACUGUUAUGCUGGGGGUUGAGGAAUCACAUUGAAGCUCUUGGGCACGACAGCUGCCUUCUAUUCUGGCUAAAUGAGGGAACAUUUAAGUGCCCCCUUAUUUAGUGAUAGCUGAAACAAUGGAAAUCCACCGUCCAAGGAUUAGGCCACGUGCUAGCCUGGGCUGUGCAGUCCAAGGGGUUCCCCGGAGGUCCCAUGACAAAUGCAGUAGUAGAGGAUUGAUUGGAUUGCAGAUGUGUGUUUGGGUGUGUGAGACAAACGGCAGAAAUGCCAGAGAAUACACAGGGCAAAUACACAGAGAGGGCAGGGAGGAAGUCAUGACACAGCCAGAAACGCACUUGUAGAGUGAUAUUAAUAAAAGUGGAGAGAGAAAACUUUUGGGAAAAGCAAUAGCUGAAAAGAGGCUUGGGACUGUGUGCAAAAAGACUGUCUCCUGUUGUUUGAUUUGAACUGUGUUCAGGGAUAUAGGACUUUGUAUAUUCUUCGUAGAUAAACAGGAUUGCAUCAAAGAAAUACCUGACUCCAUCAUCAACUCCUCCUCCUAAUGGAAACAAUCCACAAGAUCCCAGAUUUGGCCAGCUGCUAAGGUCAAAAAGUAGUAACAAUACUAUAACAAUAUUUUAAAAGCUAAAGCUGUAGUGUCACUUCUGAGUGAAAAUUGAAAACUUCUGAAGAAAAAAAAGACGGGAGGGUCUGACGGGAACUGUGUGACCUUAAAAGAACAUCAAGCUACAAUUCUACUCUGGUGCUCCUGGAAAGUGUGUGUGUGUAGGAGGGAGAGAAAUGGAGAACCAUUCUCCCCUACAAAGAGUUCUCUAUACCAAAAAUGGUUUGGAUUUUGAAACGGAAACAAACUUUUUGAUUUCAAAUUAAUUGAAAAUUAGAAACUUCGGUGGAAAAUGUUGAAUGCAACAAAACGUUUAAUUUCUUUUGGUGGGGGGGAAGAGGAGAAUGUUUUUAAGGACAAUACCUUUUUUUCAGACUGGUUCUAACUGGGAUUCAUAUCUGGAUGAGCAGGGAAGGUGAUCUACCACGACAGACAACUUUUGCAGAAUGCUGCCAUAGUAUCAUUUGGGAUGCUACUUGAUUUUAAGUCUAUUUGAACAGACAGAAGUUUUUUUUACUAUAAUCCAGGAAAAUUAUUUUGCUAAGUAAACUGUCCUGGUUUCAUACAUUCCCUAUGAUUGUCAGUACUAAUAAAAAGGCUAAACAAAGGGAUUCAUCACCAAUGCAAAUAAAAUAUUAACUGCAAAGAAGAGAGAGAAAAUGUAAGAGAUGCAUUUUCAUUAGGUAAUUGGGGAAGACUCUGGCCUCUUUCAGUCUGCAUAUCCUGCAAAGAUCUUACUGUUUAUUUCUCUUAUAUCCUUUAUGUUGGAUAAGAUAUAAUGGAUACUGGAUCUGGAUAGUGGCUUUCCUUCAGUUUCUGAGGCACCUGUCAUGUUGUGUGAUGCCACUUUACAUUUGUUAAAAUAACAUUGCAAGACAUAACAUAAUGCAAUGCAAAAUGAAGCGUUAUAAAUGUGACAUGGCGUGUCUAAAACAAUUCUUGCUUUUAGUGGAUCAGUUAUCCUUUAAAAGCUGGUAUUUAGGAUUGUCCUUAGAUAAUUCAAUAGCUCCACAUCUCUUGUAGGAGCGAUGUCAACCUGAGUUACCAUUUCUGCUUAACAGAGAUGAUGGGAGAAGAUGGCAUGAAAAGGGAUGAAAGGAAAACAGAUUCUGAAUACAUAUCCUGGAGCACUUUUUCAAGCAAGUGAUCAAGGAAAGUUUUUGGGGCCAAGCUCUACAGCCCUGUAAGAAACAGUAACCAUCAGAGAACAGCUGGGCUCUGAGAUUAAAAACAAACAAACACCAAAACAAACUGGAUUGAGGAGAGUUCUUCCUUGGAAUCAGGAGCCUAAAAGACCUUGGAUUUCACAGCCACAGGAAAUAAUACCUGGGAAGAAAUACCUGCCUGUUCAGCUGACUAAAACAAAUGGCUUCCUCAUGAUGAAAAAUAUUGUGCAAGAAGGAGGACUGAUAUACUCCGAAAAAUGUUAUCAUCCACUCCCGGAGUAUGGUCAACUGGCUGUGAAGCUCACAAACAAAGGACUCAGUUUUGGAUCCAAACACUUGUCUCCCUAUUAUUUUUUAAAUGCUGAUGAACUAUUUUCUGUUUUCCCUGUAUAUCAUGUCAGCCUACAGUUUCAUGCACUGCAAUGAAACAUACUUUAGCUUGUGUUACCUUAAAUCAGGGGUCGGCAACCUUUCAGAAGUGGUGUGCCGAGUCUUCAUUUAUUCACUCUAAUUUAGGGUUUCGCG
Molecule: long non-coding RNA, 2549 nt
Organism: Trachemys scripta elegans
Lineage: Eukaryota; Metazoa; Chordata; Testudines; Emydidae
Exons: 4
Source: RefSeq, a predicted model, not a curated record